GAUGAACGCUGACAGAAUGCUUAACACAUGCAAGUCAACUUGAAUUUGGGUUUUUAACUUAGGUUUGGGUGGCGGACGGGUGAGUAACGCGUAAAGAACUUGCCUCACAGCUAGGGACAACAUUUGGAAACGAAUGCUAAUACCUAAUAUUAUGAUAAUAGGGCAUCCUAUAAUUAUGAAAGCUAUAAGCGCUGUGAGAGAGCUUUGCGUCCCAUUAGCUAGUUGGAGAGGUAACGGCUCACCAAGGUGAUGAUGGGUAGCCGGCCUGAGAGGGUGAUCGGCCACAAGGGGACUGAGACACGGCCCUUACUCCUACGGGAGGCAGCAGUGGGGAAUAUUGGACAAUGGACCGAGAGUCUGAUCCAGCAAUUCUGUGUGCACGAUGAAGUUUUUCGGAAUGUAAAGUGCUUUCAGUUGGGAAGAAACAAAUGACGGUACCAACAGAAGAAGUGACGGCUAAAUACGUG
Molecule: ribosomal RNA, 467 nt
Filed under: uncultured bacterium
Lineage: Bacteria
Description: partial 16S ribosomal RNA
Rfam family: Bacterial small subunit ribosomal RNA
Source: RNAcentral